Cucumis melo (muskmelon) is the source of this 281-nucleotide non-coding RNA. NCBI's taxonomy places the organism in Eukaryota, Viridiplantae, Streptophyta, Magnoliopsida, Cucurbitales, Cucurbitaceae. The record is from Rfam.
CGUGACUGUAAGACCGACUGGUCGAACAGAGACGAAAGUCAGCCAUAGUGAUCUUGGAGUUCCGUGUGGAAGGGCUCUUGCUCAACAGAUCAAAGGUACGUUGGGGAUAACAUGCUGAUGACUCCCAAUAGCUCUUAUUGACGGAGUCGUUCGGAACCUCAAUGUCGACUCAUCACAUCCUGGGGUUGAAGAAGGUCUCAAGGGUUUGGUUGUUUGUCGAUGAAAGUGGUACAUGAGUUGGGUUUAGAACGUUGUCAGACUGUUCGGUUCCUAUCUACCGU